UACGGAGGGUGCAAGCGUUGUCCGGAUUUAUUGGGUUUAAAGGGUGCGUAGGCGGCUAUUUAAGUCAGUGGUGAAAUCCUGCAGCUUAACUGUAGAAUUGCCAUUGAUACUGGAUAGCUUGAGUACAGACGAGGUAGGCGGAAUUUAUGGUGUAGCGGUGAAAUGCAUAGAUACCAUAAAGAACUCCUAUUGCGAAGGCAGCUUACUAGGCUGUAACUGACGCUGAGGCACGAAAGCGUGGGGAUCAAACAGG
RNAcentral lists this ribosomal RNA (253 nucleotides) under uncultured bacterium. RNAcentral's name for it is "partial 16S ribosomal RNA". It matches the Rfam family "Bacterial small subunit ribosomal RNA", at positions 524 to 776 of the family's 1533-position model. The record is from RNAcentral.